Parasteatoda tepidariorum (common house spider) is the source of this 549-nucleotide non-coding RNA. NCBI's taxonomy places the organism in Eukaryota, Metazoa, Arthropoda, Arachnida, Araneae, Theridiidae. The record is from RefSeq and is a predicted model, not a curated record.
GUUUGUAGUUAGCUAAAAACUUUUUCAAACUAAAAACUUUUUAUUUAUUUAUAUAUUUCUUUAGCAAUGGGACAUCCUAAUAUUUUAAGAAAUCAAUUUUGUGAACAGGGCACUGUUUGCACCGUCCGCUUUAAUUGUAUGUUUUGUAAACUAAUUAUGUUGUAAUGCUCUUUGUUUUUGUUGCUAAACCCUUUUAUUUUAUUUUUAGUUGAUGGAAACUAUUGCAUAACCGAUGGAUCUGUUAAAUCAUUUAUGGAUUCUUCGUAAAUCAUCGAUCCUGAAGACUUAUAUGGGACUUGGAUGUAAAGUCUUAGAAGUUUAAUCUUCAGCUAAUAGAUCACAUACAGCAAAGGACAAAAGCAUUUUUUAUUGGGAUGUUAGUACUGCUGAAAUAGUAAGAAACUUUAAAGGUCAUGCUGUUUAGGUUAUGAUGAUGCUACAAAGUUCAAUGAAGAAUCUAGUUUUACUAUCUGUUUCAGUUGAUAAUACUGUUUUUGCUUGGGAUUGUCGUAGCAAGUCUUGCGAGCCUAUUCAGUUUUGUCAGCGAAA